AUGGCAUAAGCCAGCUUGACUGCGAGCGUGACGGCGCGAGCAGGUGCGAAAGCAGGUCAUAGUGAUCCGGUGGUUCUGAAUGGAAGGGCCAUCGCUCAACGGAUAAAAGGUACUCCGGGGAUAACAGGCUGAUACCGCCCAAGAGUUCAUAUCGACGGCGGUGUUUGGCACCUCGAUGUCGGCUCAUCACAUCCUGGGGCUGAAGUAGGUCCCAAGGGUAUGGCUGUUCGCCAUUUAAAGUGGUACGCGAGCUGGGUUUAGAACGUCGUGAGACAGUUCGGUCCCUAUCUGCCGUGGGCGCUGGAGAACUGAGGGGGGCUGCUCCUAGUACGAGAGGACCGGAGUGGACGCAUCACUGGUGUUCGGGUUGUCAUGCCAAUGGCACUGCCCGGUAGCUAAAUGCGGAAGAGAUAAGUGCUGAAAGCAUCUAAGCACGAAACUUGC
RNAcentral lists this ribosomal RNA (444 nucleotides) under Escherichia coli. RNAcentral's name for it is "partial 23S ribosomal RNA". It matches the Rfam family "Bacterial large subunit ribosomal RNA", at positions 2354 to 2797 of the family's 2925-position model. The record is from RNAcentral. Lineage: Bacteria; Pseudomonadati; Pseudomonadota; Gammaproteobacteria; Enterobacterales; Enterobacteriaceae.